GAUCCUCUUCUUUCGAACAAUCUUCGGUAGAGCAAUUUCUUAUCACUUCAACAGCUCGAAGAUUGAAGACAUGGGUUACUUGCAAGCAAAGGGCCCUCGUGACUACGUAGAAGCAUCCUUUCCAUACACCCCAUGUUGGAUGGGGGAGUUGUCAUAACAGCUUGUAAUUGUUUUUAGAAAUAUUAUUUGAAUUAGCAAAUGUUAUUCAUGUCCAAACUUGUAUGUACAAAUUUUUGUUCUACGGACAUGCACAAAUAUAUUGAAAGCAAGUUUCAGCC
This 278-nucleotide long non-coding RNA is filed under the name Hordeum vulgare. RNAcentral describes it as "long non-coding RNA (HVUL_LNC014605)". The record is from RNAcentral. Lineage: Eukaryota; Viridiplantae; Streptophyta; Magnoliopsida; Poales; Poaceae.